RNAcentral lists this ribosomal RNA (483 nucleotides) under uncultured bacterium. Its description in RNAcentral is "partial 16S ribosomal RNA". It matches the Rfam family "Bacterial small subunit ribosomal RNA", at positions 355 to 830 of the family's 1533-position model. The record is from RNAcentral.
UAGGGAAUCUUCCACAAUGGACGCAAGUCUGAUGGAGCAACGCCGCGUGAGUGAAGAAGGCUUUCGGGUCGUAAAACUCUGUUGUUGGAGAAGAAUGGUCGGCAGAGUAACUGUUGUCGGCGUGACGGUAUCCAACCAGAAAGCCACGGCUAACUACGUGCCAGCAGCCGCGGUAAUACGUAGGUGGCAAGCGUUAUCCGGAUUUAUUGGGCGUAAAGCGAGCGCAGGCGGUUUUUUAAGUCUGAUGUGAAAGCCCUCGGCUUAACCGAGGAAGCGCAUCGGAAACUGGGAAACUUGAGUGCAGAAGAGGACAGUGGAACUCCAUGUGUAGCGGUGAAAUGCGUAGAUAUAUGGAAGAACACCAGUGGCGAAGGCGGCUGUCUGGUCUGUAACUGACGCUGAGGCUCGAAAGCAUGGGUAGCGAACAGGAUUAGAUACCCGGGUAGUCCAUGCCGUAAACGAUGAAUGCUAGGUGUUGGAGGG